CGUAGGUAACCUGCCUAUUAGAGGGGGAUAACUAUUGGAAACGAUAGCUAAUACCGCAUAACAGUAUGUAACACAUGUUAGAUGCUUGAAAGAUGCAAUUGCACCGCUAGUAGAUGGACCUGCGUUGUAUUAGCUAGUAGGUAGGGUAAUGGCCUACCUAGGCGACGAUACAUAGCCGACCUGAGAGGGUGAUCGGCCACACUGGGACUGAGGCACGGCCCAG
Molecule: ribosomal RNA, 223 nt
Filed under: uncultured bacterium
Lineage: Bacteria
Description: partial 16S ribosomal RNA
Rfam family: Bacterial small subunit ribosomal RNA
Source: RNAcentral